UGUGUCCCUAUGGCACCCCAUGUGUCCCUAUGGAGUCCCCAUGUGUCCCUAUGGCAUCUUCAUGUGUCCCUAUGGAGUCCCCAUGUGUCCCUAUGGAUCCCCAUGUGUCCCUAUGGCAGCCCCAUGUGUCCCUAUGGAGUCCCCAUGUGUCCCUAUGGAGUCCCCAUGUGUCCCUAUGGCAGCCCCAUGUGUCCCUAUGGAUCCCCAUGUGUCCCUAUGGCAUCCCCAUGUGUCCCUAUGGCUCCCCAUGUGUCCCUAUGAGUCCUCAUGUGUCUCUAUGGCGCCCCCAUGUGUCCCUAUGGAGUCCCCAUGUGUCCCUAUGAGUCCCCAUGUGUCCCUAUGGAGUCCCCAUGUGUCCCUAUGAGUCCCCAUGUGUCCCUAUGGCGUCCCCAUGUGUCCCUAUGAGUCCCCAUGUGUCCCUAUGGAGUCCCCAUGUGUCCCUAUGAGUCCCCAUGUGUCCCUAUGGAGUCCCCAUGUGUCCCUAUGUCUCCCCAUGCUGUUGUGCUGCGGGACGUGGUUCAGUGGGAGCUGUUGGUAAGAGGUGAACGGUUGGACUGGGGGAGCUUUGAGGUCUGAUCCAACCUUGGUGAUUCUAUGAUUCUAUGAUUCUAUGAUUCUAUGAUU
Long non-coding RNA from Tympanuchus pallidicinctus (lesser prairie-chicken), 624 nucleotides. RefSeq lists it as uncharacterized. The record is from RefSeq and is a predicted model, not a curated record. NCBI's taxonomy places the organism in Eukaryota, Metazoa, Chordata, Aves, Galliformes, Phasianidae. The transcript has 3 exons.